AACAGGAUUAGAUACCCUGGUAGUCCAUGCCGUAAACGAUGUCUACUAGCCGUUGGGGCCUUUGAGGCUUUAGUGGCGCAGCUAACGCGAUAAGUAGACCGCCUGGGGAGUACGGUCGCAAGACUAAAACUCAAAUGAAUUGACGGGGGCCCGCACAAGCGGUGGAGCAUGUGGUUUAAUUUGAUGCAACGCGAAGAACCUUACCUGGCCUUGACAUACUAAGAACUUUCCAGAGAUGGAUUGGUGCCUUCGGGAACUUAGAUACAGGUGCUGCAUGGCUGUCGUCAGCUCGUGUCGUGAGAUGUUGGGUUAAGUCCCGCAACGAGCGCAACCCUUUUCCUUAUUUGCCAUCGGGUAAUGCCGGGAACUUUAAGGAUACUGCCAGUGACAAACUGGAGGAAGGCGGGGACGACGUCAAGUCAUCAUGGCCCUUACGGCCAGGGCUACACACGUGCUACAAUGGUCGGUACAAAGGGUUGCUACCUCGCGAGAGGAUGCUAAUCUCAAAAAGCCGAUCGUAGUCCGGAUCGCAGUCUGCAACUCGACUGCGUGAAGUCGGAAUCGCUAGUAAUCGCGGAUCAGAAUGCCGCGGUGAAUACGUUCCCGGGCCUUGUACACACCGCCCGUCACACCAUGGGAGUUUGUUGCACCAGAAGUAGGUAGUCUAACCGCAAGGAGGACGCUUACCACGGUGUGGCCGAUGACUGGGGUGAAGUCGUAACAAGGUAACC
This 731-nucleotide ribosomal RNA is filed under the name uncultured bacterium. RNAcentral's name for it is "bacterial SSU rRNA". It matches the Rfam family "Bacterial small subunit ribosomal RNA", at positions 771 to 1501 of the family's 1533-position model. The record is from RNAcentral.